This 29-nucleotide non-coding RNA is filed under the name Mus musculus (house mouse). Lineage: Eukaryota; Metazoa; Chordata; Mammalia; Rodentia; Muridae. The record is from RNAcentral.
UCCCAUAGACAGUUGAUGCUGGCAAGACC